This 253-nucleotide ribosomal RNA is filed under the name uncultured bacterium. RNAcentral's name for it is "partial 16S ribosomal RNA". It matches the Rfam family "Bacterial small subunit ribosomal RNA", at positions 524 to 776 of the family's 1533-position model. The record is from RNAcentral.
UACGGGGGGGGCAAGCGUUGUUCGGAAUUACUGGGCGUAAAGGGCUCGUAGGUGGCCAACUAAGUCAGACGUGAAAUCCCUCGGCUUAACCGGGGAACUGCGUCUGAUACUGGAUGGCUUGAGUUUGGGAGAGGGAUGCGGAAUUCCAGGUGUAGCGGUGAAAUGCGUAGAUAUCUGGAGGAGCACCGGUGGCGAAGGCGGCAUCCUGGACCAACACUGACACUGAGGAGCGAAAGCGUGGGGAGCGAACAGG